Molecule: long non-coding RNA, 1310 nt
Filed under: Mus musculus (house mouse)
Lineage: Eukaryota; Metazoa; Chordata; Mammalia; Rodentia; Muridae
Description: long non-coding RNA chr19:38898752-38900062
Source: RNAcentral
UUUUCUUUUUUACUAUGAGAAGGUCCUUCUUGAAUCCUUAUAGAUUUAAGGUACAGAAGGAAGGGAUUUUGGUCUAGCUCAUUUAUAUUGAAAUAAUUCUUACUUGUUCAAAACAGAAAUUAAAGAAGCACAUAAAAGAAAAAGAAUAAUGAAAGAACGAUUUAAGCAGGAAGAAAGCAUUGCAAGUGCAAUGGUAAUUUGGAUCAAUGAAAUACUGCCCAAUUGGGAAGUAAUGUAAGUAAGCAGAUUUCUCCAGAGUCUAGUGUGUCUCCAAUAGUUCAUCUUUUCCAAGUCUGUAUUAUCACUUCUCAGCAUGGAGCUUAUGCUGUGGUUAAAUUAUGCUAUUAACCAUUGCCCGAAACUCAUGUCUUUCUCUACACUCUCCUGAGCUCCUGUCUCUAACGCAUACUUUUCUCCCUGACCAUCCUCUGUGCUGUCAACAUCUUACCUGCUCUCUGAAACCCAUGGAAUGACUCAGGAAACCUUUACUCUUCUAAAUUACCAUUUUUCCUAAUUCUAAUACAACACUAAUUAUAAAACAUUCAUUACUGGAAGGACUCAUUACAUAGAGAAAUAUAAGGUACAUUUAUCAGAUGUUGAAAAGUGUUUCUAAAGUUGAGUAUGGUUGCGUGCCUGUAAUUCCAGAAACCUGGAAGCUGAGAUGGGAGGAAUUCAAUACCGGCCUGGAUAAUAAUGAGUUCCAGAUCAGCCAAAACCACAUAGAGAGACAGUGUCUACAAAUAAAUAGAUAUAUGAAAAGAAAGAAAGAAUGUAAAAAACAAUAAAACAUUUUUAAAUGCUGUUCUCUUAACUAAGAAACCAUGUGAACUAUGGUCUUUGCCCUGUAAAAGUCGUAUGUCACCUUGAGGCUAGUAUUCUUGCUUUUCCUGCCCCCGUUUUGGUCUCUUCUUUUUUUUUUCUUUUGGUUUUUUGAGACAGGGUUUCUCUGUAUAGCCCUGGCUAUUCUGGAACUCACUUUGUAGACCAGGCUGGCCUCAAACUCAGAAAUCCGCCUGCCUCUGCCUCCUGAGUGCUGGGAUUAAAGGCGUGUGCCUUAAUUACACCCGGCUUGGUCUCUUCUUUCUUGACAAUAUUUCUACAUAGGUUUUAUCUUCCUUGUGGACAAAAGGGUUGAAGGAUGCAUUCUACAAUGUAUGUAGGGCAUACAUUGACAAUGUGUUAAUUGUUAGCAAUGUGACAGACACACAGUAGUCCUUCUUAUCCAGGCUCAUUGUGUGAAGAUUCAGUUGCCUGUAGUCUAAAAAUGGAAAAUUAGCUAAUUACAUAUAAAUAAAAACGUCUAGAAAUUC